RNAcentral lists this microRNA precursor (128 nucleotides) under Pelobates cultripes (western spadefoot toad). Lineage: Eukaryota; Metazoa; Chordata; Amphibia; Anura; Pelobatidae. The record is from RNAcentral.
GUGGUCCCCAACCCAGUCCUCAUGGACCACCAACAUUCCAGGACUUAUGCAUUUCCCUGUUUUAUUCCAAUAGUGAGACUGAGAAAACCUGGACUGUUGGUGGUCCGUGAGGACUGGGUUGGAGAACA